RNAcentral lists this ribosomal RNA (497 nucleotides) under uncultured bacterium. RNAcentral describes it as "partial 16S ribosomal RNA". It matches the Rfam family "Bacterial small subunit ribosomal RNA", at positions 28 to 507 of the family's 1533-position model. The record is from RNAcentral.
GAUGAACGCUGGCGGCGUGCCUAAUACAUGCAAGUCGAGCGAACGGACGAGAAGCUUGCUUCUCUGAUGUUAGCGGCGGACGGGUGAGUAACACGUGGAUAACCUACCUAUCAGACUGGGAUAACUUCGGGAAACCGGAGCUAAUACCGGAUAAUAUUUUGAACCGCAUGGUUCAAAAGUGAAAGACGGUCUUGCUGUCACUUAUAGAUGGAUCCGCGCUGCAUUAGCUAGUUGGUAAGGUAACGGCUUACCAAGGCAACGAUGCAUAGCCGACCUGAGAGGGGGAUCGGCCACACUGGAACUGAGACACGGUCCAGACUCCUACGGGAGGCAGCAGUCGGGAAUCGUCCGCAAUGGGCGAAAGCCUGACGGAGCAACGCCGCGUGAGUGAUGAAGGUCUUCGGAUCGUAAAACUCUGUUAUUAGGGAAGAACAUAUGUGUAAGUAACUGUGCACAUCUUGACGGUACCUAAUCAGAAAGCCACGGCUAACUACGUG